UAUAAGAAUGGUUUAUUAUAUGUUUCAGUACCAGACGUUCAACAAUUAUGUCAUCUAUCGAAAGCAGCAAGUCUUCUUAAGACGCCAGGGGCGAUAUUAGUUAAUUAUUGAAACCGUCAAUUAACAACUGAAGACGGCAUCAAGAGUAAUUUGGAUGUUUUAUCCAGAUGAAAAAAAUAUAUAUCAACUGGAAAAAAGAAGGAAUAAAAGUCUGGUUACUUUAUUUAGAGAUCCUUUAAAAAAUGAUUUUGACUUGCUGAGAGAUGGAAGGUAUAAUAGCAAGCAUGUUAUUUUUGUUUAAUAUCUCCCCAAUUUGAAUUAAAUUUUUUAACUGACAGUAAACUUUAUUCUUUAUUUUUCCUCACCUCAAACCUCAUCCAAACAUUUCCAUCAUUUUGCUACUUUUAUUCAUUUUUAAUAUUCAUUUUAGCCAAAUUUUAGAACAUAAUUCAAAAAAUUGUAGCAAUGCAUUUUUUUUUUCU
Molecule: long non-coding RNA, 482 nt
Organism: Argiope bruennichi
Lineage: Eukaryota; Metazoa; Arthropoda; Arachnida; Araneae; Araneidae
Exons: 4
Source: RefSeq, a predicted model, not a curated record